CCUACGGGAGGCAGCAGUGGGGAAUAUUGCACAAUGGGCGAAAGCCUGAUGCAGCAACGCCGCGUGAGCGAUGAAUGCCUUCGGGUCGUAAAGCUCUGUCCUCAAGGAAGAUAAUGACGGUACUUGAGGAGGAAGCCCCGGCUAACUACGUGCCAGCAGCCGCGGUAAUACGUAGGGGGCUAGCGUUAUCCGGAAUUACUGGGCGUAAAGGGGACGUAGGUGGUUUCUUAAGUCAGAGGUGAAAGGCUCCGGUCCAACCGUAGUAAGCCUUUGAAACUGGGGAACUUGAGUGCAGGCGAGGAUAGUGGAAUUCCUAGUGUAGCGGUGAAAUGCGUAGAUAUUAGGAGGAACACCAGUUGCGAAGGCGGCUCUCUGGACUGUAACUGACACUGAGGCACGAAAGCGUGGGGAGCAAACAGGAUUAGAUACCCCGGUAGUC
RNAcentral lists this ribosomal RNA (439 nucleotides) under uncultured bacterium. Its description in RNAcentral is "partial 16S ribosomal RNA". It matches the Rfam family "Bacterial small subunit ribosomal RNA", at positions 338 to 795 of the family's 1533-position model. The record is from RNAcentral.